ACCACUGAUGGAAUUGCGCUGACUGUCCAUGCUGUGAUGGACUCUGUCCUAAUCCGUGAGCUGAAGUAAAUCCCACCACAAUCUACGUCUGCCAGGUAUUUGGUCACAGGAAUGUGAAAGGAAGGACCCUUUGAUUGAAGAGCCAGACUUGGGGUCCCCAAACCUCAGUCCUGCCUGACCUUUGGUAAGGUUGACCACCAGCAGCACAGAGAAGACAAUGAGGAACAGGACCUGCAGUGGCGGAACUGGAGUGACAGAAUGUCUGGCAGACUCUUCCAUGAAGCAGGAACCUUGCAGCACUGUCCCA
This is a long non-coding RNA of Mesocricetus auratus (golden hamster), 307 nucleotides long. RefSeq lists it as uncharacterized. NCBI's taxonomy places the organism in Eukaryota, Metazoa, Chordata, Mammalia, Rodentia, Cricetidae. The transcript is spliced from 3 exons. The record is from RefSeq and is a predicted model, not a curated record.